Molecule: unclassified non-coding RNA, 330 nt
Filed under: soil metagenome
Description: partial contains 5.8S ribosomal RNA, internal transcribed spacer 2, and large subunit ribosomal RNA
Rfam family: 5.8S ribosomal RNA (bases 1-120)
Source: RNAcentral
GAUGAAGAACGUAGCGAAAUGCGAUAAGCAGUGUGAAUUGCAGAAUUCAGUGAAUCAUCGAAUCUUUGAACGCACAUUGCGCCCUUUGGUAUUCCUUAGGGCAUGCCUGUUCGAGCGUCAUUUAAACCUUCAAGCUAAGCUUGGUGUUGGGUGACUGUCCGCUUCACGGCGGACUCGCCUCAAAAUUAUUGGCGGCCGGUACAUUGGCUUCGAGCGCAGCAGAAACGCGAACUCGGGCCCGUCGUAUUGGCUCCCAGAAGCUAUCUUCACAAUUUUGACCUCGGAUCAGGUAGGGAUACCCGCUGAACUUAAGCAUACAAUAGCGGAGGA